AUGACUAGGGAUAACCUUAGGAAGAGACACAUCAUCAAACCCCUUGAUUGUGUUCACUGCUUGGAACAAGAGUCUUGUUCUCACCUAUUUUUUGAAUGUAUAGUUGCUAAACAUCUCUAGGCCCACAUUGAGGAAUAUUUCUCUAGUCAGAUUGGCUCAUCCUUCGAAUAUGUCGCCAGAUUCUGGAUUGCUUCCAAAACGUGCUCAGUUUUAAACACUGUUAGCUCAGCUGUCCUUUGGUGCCACUGGAAAUAUAGAAAUGCUAUGAUUUUCAGUAACACCUCCUGGAUUUCCAUUCCGCGGGUCUUGAGGUUGAUCAGGAACAUGGUGAGGAACUGGGUGAUUCUCUCCUCCGGAUCGGACAAGGACAAGUUGAUGAGCUUCGUGGAAACCCUAACAAGAUCCCUCCAGAAACCGUUGGCGAUCACUUGUGGCUGA
RNAcentral lists this ribosomal RNA (438 nucleotides) under Triticum aestivum (bread wheat). Its description in RNAcentral is "partial small subunit ribosomal RNA". Lineage: Eukaryota; Viridiplantae; Streptophyta; Magnoliopsida; Poales; Poaceae. The record is from RNAcentral.